RNAcentral lists this ribosomal RNA (292 nucleotides) under uncultured bacterium. Its description in RNAcentral is "partial 16S ribosomal RNA". It matches the Rfam family "Bacterial small subunit ribosomal RNA", at positions 505 to 796 of the family's 1533-position model. The record is from RNAcentral.
GUUUCAGCAGCCGCGGUAAUACGGGGGGGGCAAGCGUUGUUCGGAAUUACUGGGCGUAAAGGGCUCGUAGGCGGCCAACUAAGUCAAACGUGAAAUCCCUCGGCUUAACCGGGGAACUGCGCUUGAUACUGGAUGGCUUGAGAUUGGGAGAGGGAUGCGGAAUUCCAGGUGUAGCGGUGAAAUGCGUAGAUAUCUGGAGGAACACCGGUGGCGAAGGCGGCAUCCUGGACCAACACUGACGCUGAGGAGCGAAAGCCAGGGGAGCAAACGGGAUUAGAAACCCUCGUAGUCC